Quercus robur (English oak) is the source of this 450-nucleotide long non-coding RNA. RefSeq lists it as uncharacterized. NCBI's taxonomy places the organism in Eukaryota, Viridiplantae, Streptophyta, Magnoliopsida, Fagales, Fagaceae. The transcript is spliced from 3 exons. The record is from RefSeq and is a predicted model, not a curated record.
GCAACAUUUGCAUUUGAAAACAAAUGCAAAAUUGCCAUCGUUUUUUGCCAUGGAAAAUGCAGAAUUCCAAAGCUUCCAACUUCUUCUAAAGGGAAGCAAGUGUUGUUGUCUCUAAGUUUCGAACAAUCUCCUCUUUCACAGAUAUUGUUUGGAGCUGUGUGAGGUGGAGAAGAUGGUCCCAUGGCGAAGGGUUCUUGGAAGCAAGAAGACAAUCCCUAGAGAGUCCUCGAAUUCUAAAGCGGCAUUGGUGGCAUAGAUGUUUACCAACAUAAUUUUGAUACAGGAACCAAUCCAAGGGGCCAAAAAUUCUAUCUUUGGCAUAGAUUUCCUUAUUUUUCUUUUUUUUUUCUUCCCCUCUGAUUCCAAUGUUAUGCUGUUUCAAUUGGUUUUAAUUAAGGUGGUGGUGUUGUCAUUGAGGUAUUGAGAAAUGAGAGCCAAUUGAAUUUGGUA